AUGUCCACCGACGCCGAACGUGCCACCGCCGAGAAAGCUGAAGCUGACAAGAAGGCCGUCGAGGACGCCGCUGCUGCCACCAAAGCCGCGGCCUCUGCAUGGCCUACUGGAGGCAUUUUCGGCAAUGUGCUUUUAGUGAGAGGAGACGUUCCCGUUGAUGAUGAGACGUCUACGUGGGAAACUUCUGAUAUUCUUCAUCCGCAUCUUCUUUGUUCGACCUGCUAUGUGGAGCUCCCGGAGAAGAACAAGUCUGGCUGCACCCGGUGCUUCGCAGUAGAGCGUAUACUGCAGUCUAUCCAGGUCCUUUGCCCCUAUGCGGAGUAUGGCUGCACAGCCAAGAUGCCCUACCAUGAGAUGGAGGAGCAUGAGAUGAAGUGCAUGCACGCGCCAUGCUUCACUGGAUCAAACGAAGGGCAGCCCAUGGCCCUGCACGAUGGGUUACCGUCGGACUCUUAG
Molecule: ribosomal RNA, 456 nt
Filed under: Triticum aestivum (bread wheat)
Lineage: Eukaryota; Viridiplantae; Streptophyta; Magnoliopsida; Poales; Poaceae
Description: partial small subunit ribosomal RNA
Source: RNAcentral